RNAcentral lists this ribosomal RNA (501 nucleotides) under uncultured Glomus. RNAcentral describes it as "SSU rRNA". It matches the Rfam family "Eukaryotic small subunit ribosomal RNA", at positions 591 to 1093 of the family's 1831-position model. Lineage: Eukaryota; Fungi; Glomeromycota; Glomeromycetes; Glomerales; Glomeraceae. The record is from RNAcentral.
CCAAUAGCGUAUAUUAAAGUUGUUGCAGUUAAAAAGCUCGUAGUUGAAUUUCGGGGUCAGCAGGUUGGUCGUGCCACUGGUAUGUACUGGCUUUGCUGAUUCCUCCUUCUUGUAGAACCGUAAUGCCAUUAAUUUGGUGUUGCGGGGAAACAGGACUGUUACUUUGAAAAAAUUAGAGUGUUUAAAGCAGGCUAACGCUUGAAUACAUUAGCAUGGAAUAAUGAAAUAGGACGAGCGAUCCUAUUUUGUUGGUUUCUAGGAUUGACGUAAUGAUUAAUAGGGAUAGUUGGGGGGAUUAGUAUUCAAUUGUCAGAGGUGAAAUUCUUGGAUUUAUUGAAGACUAACUACUGCGAAAGCAUUUGCCAAGGAUGUUUUCAUUAAUCAAGAACGAAAGUUAGGGGAGCGAAGACGAUCAGAUACCGUCGUAGUCUUAACCAUAAACUAUGCCGACUAGGGAUCGGAUGAUGUUAAUUUUAUAAUGACUCAUUCGGCGCCUUACGG